UAUCCGUUUAAAAAAUGUUUCCCAAAAUUAGCAUACGCAUUUCAAAAAAAAGAAUGCCGGAAAGAAUGUGUGCGCUUCUGAUAUCAUCUUGCGCGUAUCACAGUGUAAAACUUCACAUGUCCUCUGCGCUCGUCACCGGCGAUGGUCUUUUCAUUUUUUUAAUAUUUUGUUCAAAGUCCCUUUUUCAGAAGAAGUGAAGACAAGAUUUUCAGAAAUGUCGGAGGAAUCGGACGAAACUGUCCCUCACGCGCUCACACUUUGGCUAGUUAUUUUGGUCCGGGAGGGUGCGUGGAAAAUCCACGGAGGGGUCCGAAUCGAUGAGAUAUGCGCUCGAUUGAGUGUCCCUGGCUACACUAGCGCUCAUCAGAAGGAGGGGAUGGACUCUCACUGUGUCCCAGCUGCUCUUUGAACAUGGAUGAGCUGCUAUUGCCAAACACUUUCCUUUGGCUUGCUAAUCACACUUUUCAUUUUUUUCCCCCCUCUCUCUUCCUCCCCUAUUCUUUGUGUGCUUCAGAGUUGGUAUUUAAGCAACAGCAAAUCAAAGACUCCUUCCCUUUGCACAAAGAUGCCUCCUUCACUUGAAAAGAGUAAAGCACAAAUGAUGUAGCACAAUUUGUAUUUCUUUUUCCCCCCUUUUUUUCUCGGGGGUGGGGGGGGAUCGUCUUCACUUUAUUAAGGAAAAUCAAAAUAGCUGCCUUUUAAAAAGCAAAAGUGGAUGCACUGUCCGCACUUUUUCAGAUCGUCAUGAAAAAAGAAUAAUUAGCCCACGCGAAAAGAGGAGAAUCGGUGACGUACAGAUGAGCAACUUUACAAUGCUUUCAUACAGAGGGUAUUCGUGCUGUACGAAUACAGGAUACCAUCAGGAUGGAGCUGCUCUCAGUGGCCUCCUCACCAUUACCGAGUGCUGCGCUCCAGUUUAAAACAGGCCUCAGACCUGCCUGACCCUUCACAUCAUGUAUUGCGGUUUAUAAAAGGACUAAGAGAAAAAACUGAAAUGGCCUGAGCCCUGCGACACCCUGCUGAUAACGCUAUCAAUGAUGCCAUAAUUUCACCUGAUACCUGGAGUAAGUGGAACCAUGGGGGGGCUCAGAGAAGAAGCCCUGCUGUGGCUCAGCUGAAACAGAGAUACGGGCUUUUCCAGAGGAAAGAGGAUUGCACGAGCUUCAGCCAUCAUGUUUCUCUGUAAAGCGGUCACCGGUUGGACAUUGAGCAUCAAGCCCCGCCGGGGAGACUGCGGUCUUCAGACGGUUUCACACAGAUGGUGCUGAGGCCUAGCCCAGCGUGGACUAGACGAGUUUCCCGGUGUAACAUUGUUGAUCCCUCAGAGACCGCCUAAAGCAAUGACUCCAGCGAGGGCAAACUAAAAAAACUGUGCAUUCAUCAUUAUUGCCAUGGGCUUUUGCAAAUGAUAAUCA
Scleropages formosus (Asian bonytongue) is the source of this 1415-nucleotide long non-coding RNA. RefSeq lists it as uncharacterized. Lineage: Eukaryota; Metazoa; Chordata; Actinopteri; Osteoglossiformes; Osteoglossidae. The record is from RefSeq and is a predicted model, not a curated record. The transcript is spliced from 7 exons.